Long non-coding RNA from Siniperca chuatsi (mandarin fish), 1662 nucleotides. RefSeq lists it as uncharacterized. The record is from RefSeq and is a predicted model, not a curated record. Lineage: Eukaryota; Metazoa; Chordata; Actinopteri; Centrarchiformes; Sinipercidae. The transcript has 3 exons.
AAAUAGACAUCAAAAAGGCUUGUAAACAAGGGUUGACCAACCAGUUUGUUCAUAAUGUCCUGAUGUCUUAAGUAACAAUCAAAUGAUUUUUUCAGACUACAGAUAAUCAAGCUUUCUUUGUUGUUACCUUAAGUUUUCAAUCAGGUGAACUAUCCCACAGUUAUUGUUUAUGAUGUGUUAAAAGCACACAUUUUAGACAGACUGUUCUAGUUUUAUUACUGCUUUGUAUGAUCUGCCAUGUACUGUUUGUGGGGAGGCCGAUACCACUAUCCAAUUAAUCAAUCAAUUAAUUAUCCAGUUAUUUCUAUUUUUAAUAUCCAAGGACAAUCCUGCACCUUAUGUUACAACAUAUAACAUUAUCUAUUAAUUUGCAGGACAAUGCACUAUAAUUACACUUUGUAUAUUCAUUAGAGUGAAAGAUAACUGUCCUGCUUUUAGGCUCUAUUCUUAGCUUUUAUUUUAUUCUGUUUCCUACUCUAUAUUACUUGGCUUUUGUUUUUUUAAAUUGUAUUUUGCUUCUGCUUAAACACUGCGAAAUUCCCCUUUUGGGAUUAAUAAGGUACUCUAUCUAACUAUAUGCAAUUUGCCAGUUGCAUUAACUAAAACACAUUAUAUUACUGAAAAUAUUUAGCCAAUAUCAAUAAUACCUUUUACAGCAAGUUUACAGCUAUCUAUAACAGUUACACUAAUAUAUUUAUAUAACAUUUUAAAUUUGCCAUCAUUAUUUUAUAACUUAGCUCUGCUUAGAUUAAUGUUUGACAACUGCAAGUAAACUGGGUUAUUGUCAUAGAAAUGUUAAAAUUAUUAAUAAAAAGGUCCUAAAGACUUUAUAAGGGCUGUUAAUAGGUCCUGGUGGAAUAUUUAGUUAUUGCCUUUAACCUUAAUCCAUAAGCAUACUAUCUAGCAAUAUCAUUUAACUGUGUUUUAGCGUGAACUAGCUACAACUUAACAUUUUUGUCUUUGUUUGUCCCUCAUUAAAUCUGACAGGGGCUGACCUGCAGUUUGGCUUUUAAACUUUCCAAUUCUAAGUUAAUGUUAGUUCACAAAGUUUUUAUCAGUUAGUUAGCUUCUGUCGGGAUAAAUGCAUCAAUUCACAGUAAAGUCGACGAAUUUAAACAGACCACAAGCUAACCUACAGCUAACGCUAGGCACGAUGUUAUGUCUGUGGUACAGGCUGUCAACAAACAACAUGAGCAUGCCGGCUAACGGUUAGCUGAGGCAGAACGACGGCGAGGCUAAAGCUAAAGCAGCUAGCAAGCUAAUAUCUGUGUGCAGUACAGUGUCGUGUCAAACGCAGCUCGGUAAUUUUCAUCUUACCGGAGGGGCAGCAGAACUCAUGCCGUCGUUUCAAGGUUAAGGUGCAACUCCUGGUGUCAGUAGCGGCCUGCCACCAGUAGGGGUCGCUCUGACUCAUUGCACUGACUGAUUGGCAACUCAACGGUAUGAAAACUUUACUGGACACGAAAAAUAAGUUCAUGGUCAUCAUAACGGAACGACGCCCUACCUCAAAAAUAUGAAUCAUCUUUCACGCAGGCGCAGCAAUUUCUGUCUGGAUAAAAUGGCGACAAGCUGCCAGAAAUUAAAGAGUAAAACCGGAAGUUGAUUAUUGUUGCCUUCAAAAUAAACGCACAAAAUAGCGUGUCAAUACUUGUGUCAUGCUGU